RNAcentral lists this long non-coding RNA (303 nucleotides) under Coturnix japonica (Japanese quail). Its description in RNAcentral is "lncRNA (ENSCJPG00005002589.1)". Lineage: Eukaryota; Metazoa; Chordata; Aves; Galliformes; Phasianidae. The record is from RNAcentral.
AUGGGGUUAGAUGGGGUUAGAUGGGGUUAGAUGGGGGGAUAUGGGGGGGAUAUGGGGGGAAUAUGGGGUUAUAUGGGGGUAUAUGGGGGUAUAUGGGGUUAGAUGGGGUUAGAUGGGGGAUAUAUGGGGUUGUAUGGGGUUAUAUGGGGUUAUAUGGGGGGGUAUAUGGGGUUAUAUGGAGGUUAUAUGGGGAGAUAUAUGGGGUUAUAUAGGGUUAUAUGGGGGGAAUAUGGGGUUAGAUGAGGGAUAUAUGAGGUUGUAUGGGGUUAUAUAGGGUUAUAUGGGAGUUAUAUGGGGAGAUAU